GAUGAACGCUGACAGCAUGCUUAACACAUGCAAGUCGAAGGGGAAGUGGUGCUUGCACCAUGGUAACCAUGGCGGACGGGUGAGUAACGCGUCAGGAACUUACCUGCGGGACCGGGAUAACAGCCGGAAACUGCUGACAAGACCGGACAAGGGCAUUAAGCUGCCUCGCGUAGGGAUGACAGGAGACGCCUGCGGAGAGCCUUGCGUCCUAUUAGCUAGUUGGGGGGGUAACGGCCCACCAAGGCGAAGAUAGGUAGCCGGCCUGAGGGGGUGGACGGCCACAAGGGGACUGGGAGACGGCCCUGACUACUACGGGAGGCAGCAGGGGGGAAUAUUGGACAAAGGGGGCAACCCUUAUCCAGCAAUUCUGUGUGCACGAAGAAGGUUUUCGGAGUGUAAAGUGUUUUCAGCAGGGAAGAAGGAAGUGACGGUACCUGAAGAAGAAGCGACGGCUAACUACGUG
Molecule: ribosomal RNA, 463 nt
Filed under: uncultured bacterium
Lineage: Bacteria
Description: partial 16S ribosomal RNA
Rfam family: Bacterial small subunit ribosomal RNA
Source: RNAcentral